This 73-nucleotide transfer RNA is filed under the name Palpitomonas bilix. RNAcentral describes it as "tRNA-Ala". It matches the Rfam family "tRNA". From Rfam's summary of the family: Transfer RNA (tRNA) molecules are approximately 80 nucleotides in length. Their secondary structure includes four short double-helical elements and three loops (D, anti-codon, and T loops). The record is from RNAcentral.
GGGGAUAUAGCUUAAUAGGUAAAGCACUUGCUUUGCAAGCAAGGUUAUAUCGGUUCAAGUCCGUUUAUCUCCA